This is a non-coding RNA of Schistosoma curassoni, 46 nucleotides long. Lineage: Eukaryota; Metazoa; Platyhelminthes; Trematoda; Strigeidida; Schistosomatidae. The record is from Rfam.
GCACUGCUGAAGAGUCUCACAAUAGGACGAGAUGGCCAUCCAGUAC